RNAcentral lists this ribosomal RNA (1348 nucleotides) under Escherichia coli. Its description in RNAcentral is "partial 23S ribosomal RNA". It matches the Rfam family "Bacterial large subunit ribosomal RNA", at positions 1601 to 2925 of the family's 2925-position model. The record is from RNAcentral. RNAcentral also lists the same sequence under 1 other name. Lineage: Bacteria; Pseudomonadati; Pseudomonadota; Gammaproteobacteria; Enterobacterales; Enterobacteriaceae.
CCUGCUUCCAGGAAAAGCCUCUAAGCAUCAGGUAACAUCAAAUCGUACCCCAAACCGACACAGGUGGUCAGGUAGAGAAUACCAAGGCGCUUGAGAGAACUCGGGUGAAGGAACUAGGCAAAAUGGUGCCGUAACUUCGGGAGAAGGCACGCUGAUAUGUAGGUGAAGUCCCUCGCGGAUGGAGCUGAAAUCAGUCGAAGAUACCAGCUGGCUGCAACUGUUUAUUAAAAACACAGCACUGUGCAAACACGAAAGUGGACGUAUACGGUGUGACGCCUGCCCGGUGCCGGAAGGUUAAUUGAUGGGGUCAGCGCAAGCGAAGCUCUUGAUCGAAGCCCCGGUAAACGGCGGCCGUAACUAUAACGGUCCUAAGGUAGCGAAAUUCCUUGUCGGGUAAGUUCCGACCUGCACGAAUGGCGUAAUGAUGGCCAGGCUGUCUCCACCCGAGACUCAGUGAAAUUGAACUCGCUGUGAAGAUGCAGUGUACCCGCGGCAAGACGGAAAGACCCCGUGAACCUUUACUAUAGCUUGACACUGAACAUUGAGCCUUGAUGUGUAGGAUAGGUGGGAGGCUUUGAAGUGUGGACGCCAGUCUGCAUGGAGCCGACCUUGAAAUACCACCCUUUAAUGUUUGAUGUUCUAACGUGGACCCGUGAUCCGGGUUGCGGACAGUGUCUGGUGGGUAGUUUGACUGGGGCGGUCUCCUCCUAAAGAGUAACGGAGGAGCACGAAGGUUGGCUAAUCCUGGUCGGACAUCAGGAGGUUAGUGCAAUGGCAUAAGCCAGCUUGACUGCGAGCGUGACGGCGCGAGCAGGUGCGAAAGCAGGUCAUAGUGAUCCGGUGGUUCUGAAUGGAAGGGCCAUCGCUCAACGGAUAAAAGGUACUCCGGGGAUAACAGGCUGAUACCGCCCAAGAGUUCAUAUCGACGGCGGUGUUUGGCACCUCGAUGUCGGCUCAUCACAUCCUGGGGCUGAAGUAGGUCCCAAGGGUAUGGCUGUUCGCCAUUUAAAGUGGUACGCGAGCUGGGUUUAGAACGUCGUGAGACAGUUCGGUCCCUAUCUGCCGUGGGCGCUGGAGAACUGAGGGGGGCUGCUCCUAGUACGAGAGGACCGGAGUGGACGCAUCACUGGUGUUCGGGUUGUCAUGCCAAUGGCACUGCCCGGUAGCUAAAUGCGGAAGAGAUAAGUGCUGAAAGCAUCUAAGCACGAAACUUGCCCCGAGAUGAGUUCUCCCUGACCCUUUAAGGGUCCUGAAGGAACGUUGAAGACGACGACGUUGAUAGGCCGGGUGUGUAAGCGCAGCGAUGCGUUGAGCUAACCGGUACUAAUGAACCGUGAGGCUUAACCUU